UACAGACCACAGUCGUGCAGAGUUCUAAUAGUUCUAUUCAUACAUAUUAUUACAUAAUCGCCAUGCAUAUAUGUAUUGUUUUUAGUAAAACAUCCGAAGUAUCGCCUAGCCACAUUAUGUUAGUUUUAAUUUAUUUCCAAAAAAUGAAAAUAGAAGGAAAUAAUGGCUAAACAACUUUGAAUUAAAUGAUUAUCCCAAUUUCUACCUGACAUAGUAUCUGCGGAUAAUUUCACAAUUACUGAUUGUAAACAAUGCACUCAAAACAUAAUCCAAACCGUUUGUCUGGGAUAGAGAAGAAAAAUAAAUUUUAUUAAUUUACAGCAAUAUUGGUACUACUCUGAGCACGACUAAUAAAUCGCAUCCAUGUGUCGGUCGUGUUGCGCUGUGUCCAUGCAGUGGUAGACGACGGUGUUGUCUCCAGAACCGAACAAUGUCAGCGAGGGUGGAGCGUGACGUUGCUACUCGUUGCCGGUCGUUAGCAGACAAAAAAUUGCACAAAUGCUCGAGACGUGCAUGACAGCCAGAAUAUUGUGUAUCUCCAACGAUGAGGUUGAAGAAAAUUAACAGACAAAUAAAGGGCCUUACAAGCUGAUGAUUUUAAUUCAUCUAGAAAAGCCUUAGAAGCUUAAUAAUGUCUUAUUCACAUACACUUAUUUCAUUCAGUGGAUUAUACUUAUAUUUUCCAAACUGAAAUAUACGAUGCACCACAUACAAGCAACUAGGAAGUCGAUCAAAUAUCCUGACAAUUUUUCAGACGUUGACUUUCAUGAAGAUAAUUCUACCGACUUCGAUGAAGCCAUACAAUAUUGGAGCGAAUUAUGAAACUUAAGGGCAAUACAAUUUAGCUGAGCAGGAACCCAAUUUCAAUAACACAGAUGAGGGCCUCAACAUAUCUAAAUUGCAAAAAAACACGUAACUAGUUUGGACUUCAGUAUCUUUUCUGAAAUAAAAGUAUAUAUAGUUGGAUGACAGGUAAAAAUUGAAAAUUCAUAGGUGUUUUCAAAUACAUUGGGUAUAAAUCAGUUCUUUUAGAAUUUUCUAUACACCAUACAAUUUUUAAAACAAUUUUAUUCUUUUGAGCUAACUAUAGGGGAUAAAACACUUUAAUGGAAUCACAUUAAAAAUAUAAGUCUUCUUUGUUUACUGUCAUUUUAACAAAUCCCAUACCUAAUUGAUAAUAAUGUUGAUUAUAUACAGUUAUCAACUGCAUUUAUUUUUAGAAAUAAAAAAUUAUUUUAGAACUUGUCACUAUUGAUCUGAUUGUUAUGACAAUUAAUCUGUAUUUUGCGACAU
This is a long non-coding RNA of Metopolophium dirhodum (rose-grain aphid), 1293 nucleotides long. RefSeq lists it as uncharacterized. NCBI's taxonomy places the organism in Eukaryota, Metazoa, Arthropoda, Insecta, Hemiptera, Aphididae. The record is from RefSeq and is a predicted model, not a curated record. The transcript has 6 exons.